GAGAUCGGGAUAAACACCUGGAAACAGAUGCUAAUACCGGAUAACAACAGAUGAUGCCUAUCAACUGUUUAAAAGAUGGUUCUGCUAUCACUCUUGGAUGGACCUGCGGUGCAUUAGCUAGUUGGUAGGGUAACGGCCUACCAAGGCGAUGAUGCAUAGCCGUGUUGAGAGACUGAUCGGCCACAUUGGGACUGAGACACGGCCCAAACUCCUACGGGAGGCAGCAGCAGGGAAUCUUCCACAAUGGACGCAAGUCUGAUGGAGCAACGCCGCGUGAGUGAAGAAGGGUUUCGGCUCGUAAAGCUCUGUUGUUGGUGAAGAAGGACAGGGGUAGUAACUGACCUUUGUUUGACGGUAAUCAAUUAGAAAGUCACGGGCUAACUACGUGCCAGCAGCCGCGGUAAAU
Molecule: ribosomal RNA, 406 nt
Filed under: uncultured Lactobacillus sp.
Lineage: Bacteria; Bacillati; Bacillota; Bacilli; Lactobacillales; Lactobacillaceae
Description: bacterial SSU rRNA
Rfam family: Bacterial small subunit ribosomal RNA
Source: RNAcentral